UACAGAGGUGGCAAGCGUUGUUCGGAAUUACUGGGCGUAAAGGGCGCGUAGGCGGCCAUCUAAGUCAGACGUGAAAUCCCCCGGCUUAACCUGGGAACUGCGUCUGAUACUGGAAGGCUUGAGUAUGGGAGAGGGAUGUAGAAUUCCAGGUGUAGCGGUGAAAUGCGUAGAUAUCUGGAGGAAUACCGGUGGCGAAGGCGGCAUCCUGGACCAUUACUGACACUGAAAAGCGAAAGCCAGGGGAGCAAACGGG
Molecule: ribosomal RNA, 253 nt
Filed under: uncultured bacterium
Lineage: Bacteria
Description: partial 16S ribosomal RNA
Rfam family: Bacterial small subunit ribosomal RNA
Source: RNAcentral